Mauremys reevesii (Reeves's turtle) is the source of this 1166-nucleotide long non-coding RNA. RefSeq lists it as uncharacterized. NCBI's taxonomy places the organism in Eukaryota, Metazoa, Chordata, Testudines, Geoemydidae. The record is from RefSeq and is a predicted model, not a curated record. The transcript is spliced from 3 exons.
UUAUGGCAGCCAUGGCCAGGGGAGUCCCCAGCAGUGCAGCUCCAUUGGCCAGAGCUACUGCAGAGGCUCUGUGCAGACUAUCCUGGCCAGCUGUUGAUGUCCCAGAAGCCAUAUGGGGGGGAUGGGAGCCUGCUCUGAUCUCGUAUUCUCUUGAAUUCAGUGGACUUUGUAUCAGACUGACGGAGGAGAGUCAGUGGAGUAUCCAGCUGACCCCAGAAGGCUCUCAAACUUGGCAGAUAUCCUUGCAUUAUCUUACCUGCACAUUUUCAACGUGGUGCACAGCCCCAAACAGCUAGCCGCUCUUCUGUGCUGCAUCCUGGCUUCCAGAGCUCUGUGGAAAUCCAUGGAAGGUCACCUGUCGUCAUAUACUGUCCCUUCAAUCUGAGCACUGAAAGCAUUUUGCAGACAUUGAUGGAUUGAGCCUUACAGUGCCGUGUGAGGUGGCACUGGGGACCCUGGUUCUCUUAGCUCUUGGACUUUGUGAUGGGCCUGCCCUGUUCAUCUUAAUCUUCUCUUCCAAGGAAGAGUCUCCUUGCACAACUCUGCCUUCCUGUGCUUGAUGGUUUGGAUUUCAGAGGAACAAGUUCAGAGAAGAAGCCUUCUCCCAAUAAAUUGCGCAGAUUACGGCUCAUGAGCCAAAGGAAGCUCAAUCAACAAAUUGUACCCAGAUAGUUGAUCCAAACGCAUAACUGUGAAGCACACGGACAUACCACACUCCCUGCUGGUUUGGAUUUAGGAAUAGAUCUGCUAUUGUAUAGGCUCUACUUUUCACUAUUUCCUGGCUUCUUAACAGGUGGUGCCAUAAUGCUAGCUGUACUGAAUCUAUCUGAAGAUGUCAUAAGAAGAGGGUUGCCAACAAACUCACUUGCUAUUAAGAUACAUUCCCAUAUGAAAUAUUAGAAAGGGCACAAUUCAUCUUCUGGGAGUGCUUACUGUACUUCAUACACUGAAAGAUGGACCACUGCUGUGAUCCAGGCUGGCAAUUAAUAUGUUCCUAUUGCAAAACAAACAAACAAAAAAAGAAUAAAACUCUCAGACAUCUGCGGUUUGGUCUACAUAACUAUCGGGGAACACUCUAAAAAAUAAAAAUGAUAGUUCCACAAGCUGUAUUUACAAUAUUACCACAAAUAUCUUUAAAAGUUCUCUUUAAGGUAAGGUAAGGAAAG